AGAUCUACUUGGGGCAUCAUCCUGCAGCAAUAGGAAUAUCACCUUGUGACAUUGCCUCUCGUCCUCCCUAGUCUCCUGUCUCAUGCCGAUCCACCUCCAUCUGGAGCUCCAUCUCACUCUGAGCUCUGCCUGACUCUUGAAGCUCCACCUCGCACUGGGCUCUCCGUCAGGUAAUAAUGUCAUCUCCUCCCCUUCUUCUCCUCCAGAAUAAUCCUAUCGCUGCGUAGCAAAUUCAGGAUUCCUCCACCAGCUACCGUCUUGUAGUCUCUCGAAUCCAGUCUACUUAGUGAGAUAAGAUUUUAUCUAGAAAUUGGAUAUGUAUC
RNAcentral lists this long non-coding RNA (323 nucleotides) under Elaeis guineensis (African oil palm). RNAcentral's name for it is "long non-coding RNA (EGUI_LNC070078)". The record is from RNAcentral. Lineage: Eukaryota; Viridiplantae; Streptophyta; Magnoliopsida; Arecales; Arecaceae.